AAACUAAUUUAGUUUGGCGGCAUUUCAUCCAAUUAGAGGAAUUUGUCUAUUAAUCGAUAAUCCACGUUAAAUUUAACUUUAUUCAAAAAUUUAUAUACCGCCAUCUUAAGAAUUAAUUUAAAAAUAUUUCUCAAAACAAUUAAAAAGUUAGGUCAAGGUGUAAUCCAUAUUAAAGAAUCAGAUGAAUUACAUUAAAUAUAAUUUAAAGAUUCUAAAUAAAUUUAUUUAUAUAAAUAAGGAUUUAAAAGUAAUAUUACAAUAAUAUUAUAAUGUGAUUUGGCUUAUAAAUGUGCACACAUCGCCC
Molecule: ribosomal RNA, 304 nt
Filed under: Platocoelotes xianwuensis
Lineage: Eukaryota; Metazoa; Arthropoda; Arachnida; Araneae; Agelenidae
Description: partial 12S ribosomal RNA
Source: RNAcentral